This is a long non-coding RNA of Salvelinus fontinalis (brook trout), 4320 nucleotides long. RefSeq lists it as uncharacterized. Lineage: Eukaryota; Metazoa; Chordata; Actinopteri; Salmoniformes; Salmonidae. The transcript is spliced from 4 exons. The record is from RefSeq and is a predicted model, not a curated record.
CCCAAUCACGGCUGGAUGUGAUGCAGCCUGGAUUCGAACCGGGUAUUGCAGUGAUGCCUCUUGCACCGCGAUGCAGUGUUUUAGACCACUGCGCAACUCGGGAGCCCACUUUUAUACAAAAUAGGUGCUGGAAUAUAUUUGACAAAUUCUACAAUAUUUGUAAUCUAUGUUGAAAAUUGGUUGACAUCAAAUAUUUUAAGUAUGAUUCUUCAAUGUUGAUGUCUGAGGUUAAGGUUAGGGUUUAGGGUAGGGACAUCCCAAGGAUUCCAAAUAGCACUUUUCCAUUGUUUUUGAACGUUGCCACUGAAAAGUACAGGGCACUGAUAUGAGAAACAUGACUCUAGACCAAUUACUGUGACUAGCUACUCAAAACUUUCUUCAAAUCACAUAUAUUGGUUCUCAUAACAUAUUUGGAGUAACAACCACCUAAUGUAUUGUGUGCGUGUACACCUACUAUCUACUGUGUUAGAACAUGGAUAUUAGCAUGCGUGCAGGCUCUAUUUCUUUCAAUCGUCAGGUGUAUGUAGAAAAUGUGCGGUGAUAGGACGCAUCGAGCAUUGAUUUAUUGGCGUUGAACCAUCAAGAAGAAAGCGCGUUGUGACCAGUCGACAAAUACGAGCUAGCAGCUUCUAAAACCAGACCCAGAAAGUUAUAUACUGCGCAAAAAGUAUGCUUAUAGUUACUGCUGUUGAAAAAAACAACACAAUUCUCUAUGCUAUGGCCAUGCAUCUCCCUUCAGACUACCUACACACUGCGCUUCGGUGUGUGUGAGUUGCUCGCUAUAACUUGUUACCUACCAUAUGUCAUUUCCACCACUUUAUUCCGUGCUGCUGUAAUGUGAAGUGCAACCUCUAUUUUGGAGUUUGUCAUUUUUGUAUGUUUUCAACUUUGUCUUCUAAUUUACUAGUCUGGGAAAACAUGGUUGUUGUAACGUAAUUUGUUGGAAAAGGUGGAGAAACGCGCAGUGUCGAAAAAGAGAAUCCAAAACGGAGGCUUAAAUGUAACCCUCCGUUUUGGAUUAAUUCCUAAUUUUCGACAGUGUGUGCGGAUCUCCAUUUCUACCAGUAUUCUCAUGUCGAUACAUAACGUUACGCACUUGGAACAUACAUUAUUUAGGUGUAAAGGACAUUUAAACAAUGCAGACGGCAUGUCACUUCUGUUGCAGUAUAUGAACAUGGCAUAUCAUUUGUUUAAAAUUGCUGAAAUGUGUUGAUGCCAAACGUGAGAAAUUCAUAACAUUUGUAUCUGUCCACAUAUGUUGACUUUCGGGCAAAGGUGUUUCGUAGGUUCGGUGGAACAGCAUUUAUCAGCUCUCUGUUAGCCGAAGUCUUUCUGUGGAUUUAGCGCCACCUGGAGGACAAAAGCAAUACUGCACCAGCGACGUGAAAGGGGACCGGCUUUAAAAACAAAUCCAAGAUGGCUACUUGUGAGUGUUCAGCACAAAUGUCUUUGUUCAUUUUCCCCUCUCCUUGUUGGUAAAAGUUUCUGCUGCUUUACAAAUGUGAAAGGGUUCAAAGCACACACUAAGCCUGAGUUCUCUCAGCUCUGAGUAUGCUUUUCCUAGACACAGAGUUAGGAUCAGUUUAGUUUUUACUAACCUAGCAAAGAUUGUUGAGGGGGGAACCACUAUCGGUUCUGGGGGGGGGGAACAACAAUUUAGGCCCCCUUUGUGCCCCCCCCUAAAUGUGGAGUAUGAAAUAAUUUUUGCAUAACUAAUUUUUGCUAUUCUUUUUUUACAUCUGUUAUUAGACAGUGGCAACGAUGAUGAUAAUGAACAUGGUCUUAUGCCUGCUAAUGCCUGCAAUGCAGUGAAGAAAACGAUAUGACUACGAUUACGUCUAAUGUAACUGGCCCCUCUAACAGUACAACUGGCCCCAGCUUGGCCCCCCCCCCCAGGUGAAAUUGUCUAGAACCGCCACUGGGGGGAACGACACCAAUCACAGCACCAGCACGGCCUUGCUACUCUACAUAAUCCCCAGCCUGCCCGGCUGCUCGGUAAAAGGCAACUGUUAAAGCUUCUAGAUACUACCUCAGAGAGCGCUGUGUGUUUGAAGUAUAUGAGUCUUAUCAGGGUGCUUCCUGACAAUAACUGUCAAUGAGACUGCUAACCAAGGUGCUUUAUGUUAUGGCACUUUUUGUCUGCUUCUGUUGAGAAGAAUAUACAUAUGAAAUAACCUUUCCCCUAAUCAUUAUCUGUUGUUAGCAUUAACAGGAUACACUUUAAAGUGUUAAGGUAAGUGGUAAAAUAGUUAAAAUGUCUUCUAGCUGGGCUUAGAAAUCAUUGUAAAAUCUCUUAUUUUCAUCCAUUUUGCUUGCCGUAGAAAAAGCCUUUUUGUGAAAUCUUAUGUAUACUGUAGCUUGUCUUGCAAACAUUCCAACCUGUGUUUCAAUCUGCAUCACUUUGUUUGGCCUGUUUCUUGCUUGUAGAUGGUCUUCCUACUGUAUAUCUGUCAUUUGUAGCUUUUUAUUUGUGGAUUGUUUAACCAAGAUUCCUAACCUCUUCCAACACUGAUCAAAACUCAAAGUGCAUUGGCUGUCAACAGGCUGUUAACAGGUUUUGAAGCUGAAUCUCUAUUCUAAUUUAAUUAUUUCAUUUAUUUCACUGGAAAAUGUUAUGAGACUAUGCUGUGCUCCUGUAACAGUUCCUACUGCUCCCACUCCCACCUCCCCCCCUGCUGUGCUAGCUCCUACUGCCCCUCAGACCCGGUCAACCUCCCAGCCAACAGCUGGACCAGUGCAGCAUGCUGCUGGUGCUCAGCAGGUGCUUCUCCCUGAGGGAUGGAAGCAGACCCUACCAAAAGAGCAACAAGAGUGGGUCAGUCGGGGCAUCUUCACAGGGAACAAGCAGCUCAAAUGUGUCCUGAAAAGCCAGCUUGACCUGUGGUAUUCCCCUCUGCCUCUUAACGUCAGCCAUCAGCCUCCAGCUUCUCCCACCGCCUAAUUCCUCUGGCCGUUCUGCCUCUGGAUGCCCUACCGCCUGUGGGCCUCUAAGUUUGUGUGCACCCAGCCACAGUGCAAGCGCCACAAACUCAGACGGUUCGGAGGGUGCUUGACAUGGACGGCUGGUAUUAUAUGGGGACAGAGUACCUGGAAUGCUGCAUCUGUCAGAGGAAGCUAGCAGGAUGGUCGCUGGAGGUCUUGAACCAGCUGGAUGCAAGUCAUCGCUUGAAGUUCCCAGCUAUCUUGACUUACAGGUUGUCCUGUGACCUGAAGGUGGUCAGGCUGAUGAGAGAGAGGACACUGGGCAACAGUGUGACCAGGCUGUACAACCAGCUGAGGGAGCAGCGCAGCCUGACCUGGAUGGACAACCAGCUGAGGGAGCAGCGCAGCCUGACCUGGAUGGACAACCAGCUGAGGGAGCAGCACACAGCCUGACCUGGAUGGACAACCAGCUGAGGGAGCAGCACACAGCCUGACCUGGAUGGACAACCAGCUGAGGGAGCAGCACACAGCCUGACCUGGAUGGACAACCAGCUGAGGGAGCAGCACACAGCCUGACCUGGAUGGACAACCAGCUGAGGGAGCAGCACACAGCCUGACCUGGAUGGACAACCAGCUGAGGGAGCAGCACACAGCCUGACCUGGAUGGACAACCAGCUGAGGGAGCAGCACACAGCCUGACCUGGAUGGACAACCAGCUGAGGGAGCAGCACACAGCCUGACCUGGAUGGACAACCAGCUGAGGGAGCAGCACACAGCCUGACCUGGAUGGACAACCAGCUGAGGGAGCAGCACACAGCCUGACCUGGAUGGACAACCAGCUGAGGGAGCAGCACACAGCCUGACCUGGAUGGACAACCAGCUGAGGGAGCAGCACACAGCCUGACCUGGAUGGACAACCAGCUGAGGGAGCAGCACACAGCCUGACCUGGAUGGACAACCAGCUGAGGGAGCAGCACACAGCCUGACCUGGAUGGACAACCAGCUGAGGGAGCAGCACACAGCCUGACCUGGAUGGACAACCAGCUGAGGGAGCAGCACACAGCCUGACCUGGAUGGACAACCAGCUGAGGGAGCAGCACACAGCCUGACCUGGAUGGACAACCAGCUGAGGGAGCAGCACACAGCCUGACCUGGAUGGACAACCAGCUGAGGGAGCAGCACACAGCCUGACCUGGAUGGACAACCAGCUGAGGGAGCAGCACACAGCCUGACCUGGAUGGACAACCAGCUGAGGGAGCAGCGCAGCCUGACCUGGAUGGACCCUGAACUACCUGUCCGUCUGUGACCACUUUGUAGUCCCAGGUGCUGCACCACUGAGGGUAACACCUCCUCCUCCCACUUUGUAGUCCCAGGUGCUGCACCACUGAGGGUAACACC